UACAGAGGGGGCAAGCGUUGUUCGGAAUUACUGGGCGUAAAGGGCGCGUAGGCGGCCUGCUAAGUCGAACGUGAAAUCCCCGGGCUCAACCCGGGAACUGCGUCCGAUACUGGCAGGCUUGAAUCCGGGAGAGGUGAGUGGAACUGCGAGUGUAGAGGUGAAAUUCGUAGAUAUUCGCAAGAACACCAGUGGCGAAGGCGGCUCACUGGCCCGGUACUGACGCUGAGGUGCGAAAGCGUGGGGAGCAAACAGG
This 253-nucleotide ribosomal RNA is filed under the name uncultured bacterium. RNAcentral describes it as "partial 16S ribosomal RNA". It matches the Rfam family "Bacterial small subunit ribosomal RNA", at positions 524 to 776 of the family's 1533-position model. The record is from RNAcentral.